Monodelphis domestica (gray short-tailed opossum) is the source of this 823-nucleotide non-coding RNA. Lineage: Eukaryota; Metazoa; Chordata; Mammalia; Didelphimorphia; Didelphidae. The record is from RefSeq and is a predicted model, not a curated record.
CAUUACAUCAUAGUACGCUGACUAGGAGGGGUAAUAAAGGGAGAGUGGGGCAAACAUAUUGAAACAGUCAGUCCAGGGUCUCUGUCUGUCAAGGUCCUGUGGUCAUCUCUCUCCUUGAUAGUCUCACUAGACAGCAGAAAGCUGGGAAUGCUUGUCUGAGAAACCAGAGAAACCAGGACUUGCCUAAGAACAUCCUGAGAAGCAGUAAUCAGGAAAGUGGUCACGAAACACAAGCCACAGACUGCUGAAUCCAGUGCAAAGAAGGGAAAAGAUCCCUGCUGCUCCCACCAGAACCAUAGCUUUCCAUUCUGAGGGCCGCUAAUGGAUGUCUGAGAGGGGAGAGAGGUCCAGAAAUCUACCCAAAAGCAACUCUGAGGAUCAAUUGGCAGAGAAGUGGUGAGGAAAUAGAAGCCACAGACUGCUGAAUCCUGACUCAAAAGAAAGAUAAUAUCCCUACUAGUCCCUCCAGAACAACAGCUUUCCAUUCGGAGGAAUCUUGGAGAGAAGACUAAACAGGAGUAAUAAAAGGGCUUUCAGAAACAGCUGCCUGAAAUACAAGAAGAGAUGAGAAAGCCAAAGGAGAAAGCAGUUGAGCACGUUGAUUCCUUUGGAAAAUCCCAAAGAAGAGGGCUGCUAAUGGAUGUCUAAGAGGGGAGAGAAUUCUGGGAAUUUACCCAAAGUUCACCCUGAAAUUCACUUGUCAGAAAAGUUAUCAGGAAACACAAUCAACAGACUGCUGAAUCCAGUCCCAAGGGAAAGAAAUUAUUCCUACUGGUCACCCCAGGACUGUGGCUUUCCAUUCUGAGGCUAAUCUGGGAAGUUC